CAUGUACGUAGAUGAGUGCCC
RNAcentral lists this non-coding RNA (21 nucleotides) under Arabidopsis thaliana (thale cress). The record is from RNAcentral. Lineage: Eukaryota; Viridiplantae; Streptophyta; Magnoliopsida; Brassicales; Brassicaceae.